UUUUACUUAGUAUUUUAACCAGAAUCAGCAAAUAAGAAGCAAAAGGUGAAACUUGAUUACGUGUUAGAUCAAGUGGGGGCAUCAACGCCUCCACGCCCCCACCAUCCCUCUCUGAACCUCUUAGUCUCCCCCACCAUUAUUUCCUCCUCCUCUAUUUUAUUCAUUUCCUCUGAGAUAUUUUCGUCUCUCUCCCCCUCUCGUUCAUCUCCCCUAGCUUCUUCCUCGUCAGCCAUACACGCCUUUACUUGUCUCCUCCACCGCAGCACUGUCGCAGAUCCCUUCUCCUUCCUCCCUUCGUCGCCUCUUUCGUCUCCGAUUCUCCGAUGGACGUCGCCGGCCGUCAAGUUUCCUGCAGCCCUUGCGUUUCUCUGUCUGCAUUCUGCUCUAAUCUUAUUGCAUCCCACCUCCUCCGACCUCUCAAUUUUGCCGUUUCUCGACGGAGUUUUGAUUCGUCUGAGAGAGAGUGAACGUCUUGUUUGGCUGCAAACAAAAUUUCAGAAAUUACGAGCGUAAAUGGAGCUCAGAAUUUCGUGAAGGACUAAUCGUCAGCCCUAACCGCUGAACGUCGCGAUAGUAUUAUAAUAAAGGAAAGUGAUUUCUUGUUGGAGAUAUGGAGCUCUCAGGUCCAAGCCUCCGAGAAUAUUAUGUUGCAACAAAGACAUGAGAUCAUUGCAGUGCUCUCUAAACAAUAUCAGACUACGUGAACAAGAAGUUAUUCAUUUCUUAGAAUGAGAGGCUGCAAUUUGAUUAAAGCAUGCAGCAAAAGUUUGUAUGUCUAUUUGGGAUAGCUGGUCUGAUAAUUACUGAGGAUGAAACUCGUCAGACUGGUGCAUCCACUACUCACAGAGGGUUGAACCAUUAUAUGAAAGCUGUACCUCAUAUGCUAUGUGUUCCAACUUCCAACGUACAACCAUGAAUUCAGUUUGAAGCAUCAUACCAUACAGGUAUGAAUCUUUUGCUUGAAAGAUAUUCUGAACGCAUAUAUCUUUUGUUAAAAAGACAUUGUAAACUUGUAUUUUGUUUGAUAUCAGAUCUGUUGUAUAAUUAGUCAACUUUUGUUGCAUCUAUGUAAUUGCACUAUCUUUUCUGAAUAUUAGUGGUCGUGAUUUUUGUGAGGUGAAUGUAAUCUUUGUUUGUUUUCUUUCAUCCUACUAUGCCAAACUAGAGUUUUAUAUCCAUUAUCAAAUGUUUCCAGAUAAUUUGUUAUGAGAGAAAUUUAAUGGUAGAGUACGUAACUUUACCAUCAUUACUUUUUUGUUUGUCCAUUUAAAUUGCCAUGCCUGAUUCCUAGUCAAUUUUUUUGUCUUUUCUGACUAUCACCAACUCAUCUUCCUUUCUGGGUUAGAAUUAUGUGUAUAUUUUCUAAUUAAGUAAAGAUUCCUAAAAUUGGACCCAGUGCCCCACCAAAAAAACAAGUAGGGGUCCUCUGCUUAAGCAACUCUUCAGUAUUGUAUACAUUCUUUAAGGACCAAGUGCCCCUCUUAUACAUGUAUCUAUGUUCGCCAAGUGUUAGUAUUAUCUCCUUCCGAGCAAUACACAUUUUCAUUGAUAAAGUAAUUAGGAUUCCGUUGCUGGUAUUUGUGGUAUCCUAAUUACAUUUAAUAGUAAACCCAGCAUUUAAGGCAGUUCUGAGCGUGAUCCUGAAUUAAUCUGGUUUUAAGACGCAAAAGUGUUUUUCUGAAACUAGUUUAUUUUCAUUGGUAGCAUAUGCAAAAGAUAUCUGCAAUAUAAAACAUUAAAAAAAUAAACUAAACUAAACUUCUGGUUU
This 1768-nucleotide long non-coding RNA is filed under the name Rosa chinensis. Its description in RNAcentral is "sRNA RchiOBHm_Chr7g0233541". The record is from RNAcentral. Lineage: Eukaryota; Viridiplantae; Streptophyta; Magnoliopsida; Rosales; Rosaceae.